Molecule: long non-coding RNA, 2548 nt
Organism: Rhagoletis pomonella (apple maggot)
Lineage: Eukaryota; Metazoa; Arthropoda; Insecta; Diptera; Tephritidae
Exons: 2
Source: RefSeq, a predicted model, not a curated record
CAAGAACAGUGGAACAGCAGCGAAUUGCAUGAAUUUCGCAGAGGUGUAUGUACAACGACAUCAAUGACAAUCGAAAAAUUGGGACACUGACGACAAUUUUUUUUAUUUUUUUUUAUAGGUAUAUUUAUUUUGAAGCAGCAAGAUGGCGCCGCUCGCCUAAUACGAGUAUGUACUGGGUAUGCGCCAGCAACAAAUCUAAACUAAAGUGAUCAGCUUGAUUUUCGUAUUUAUUAUUGAGUACUUAAAAUACAUAGCAUACACAAGUACAUACAUAUGUAUGUUUUUUGGCCUAUAUACAGCUGUAUUUACUGUGAGCUCUAAGAAUUUGCAAUUGAUGGUUGUAGUAGCCAAAGCCAGUUGGAAAACUACAUAGUAGAGAAAUUAUGGCGUGAAAGACAAAGUGAGCAAGCGGAAAAAGGUGUCGUCGACAUUCAUACCCAAGAAAAAAAAGCAUGUGGCAUUUUGGUUCAAAAUGAAACUAGUUACUUUGCGAAUAGUUGGUAACUAGUUGAAAAUUCGACACUGGAUUUUAUUUAAAUUAUUUUGAUGCAAUUAAAUUUGAUCACAAUUCAUGGCCAGUAAAUAUAAGUACACACUAUAUACAUACGGUAAAUGUAUCAAGCGUAAGGCGGAGCUCAAAUGCCUUAAAAACAACAGCAAAAAUCAAAUAAACAAACAAUAAUUAAGUAAACGGUAAUGAAAGAAAAAAAAAACGAAAUUCACACGAAAAAUUCAAACUGAAAAGGGACGUCGCACAGUGGUCGGAGAGGCUGUGUUUCACGCAAAAAAAUUUAAUUAUAAAUGCAGUAUCGUAGUAUUAUUGUUAUGCUAAAUCUUAAUAUGCCAUACAAUUUUUUAGUUUGACAGUUGACAACUGUCAAAUUAUUUGUCAAUUUCUCUUAAACUAAGAAUUUUUUUCGAAAAUAUCUGAUUAAAUUAAAACCUUGAGAAUUGACAGCUGUCAAAUGGGCUGCUAAUUUUUCUAAAAAUAAGAAAAUAUUUUUUAAAACGCUACUGAUAAAGGUUCAUGAAUUGUACGUAGCUAGAGAGCUGACAGUUGUCGAAUGGGCUGCAAAUUUUUCUAGAAAUUAGGAGAGAAUUAAACGUACUAGGUUUUCGGGCUCACAGCUCUCGAGUUCUAUACCACAUUCAAACUUAUUCAGUUGACAAGUAGGCUCCCUUGUUUUUAUAAAUAAAUAUUUUUCACUUUAUACGAAAUUCGUUAUUUCCAAAACUUCAAUUUUCUCAUUUUCAAAUAAAGUUAUUCAUAUUUGACAAUUCAAUAAUUUAUUUAAAUGUCGGACGUCAUAUUGGAUUUUAGAUUUUGAAUUAUCAAAACCUAGUUUGGAAUUUGUAGUAAAAAUUUCAUGAAAAUUGAGUAGUUUUUAAUAUUGGAUUUGCUAUUUUGCAUUUUUGAAAAUUGUCUUCAGGUUUGUUAAGAUAUGUAUGUACAUCUCAUAAAUUAUAUGGUGGUAAAUAUAUAGUCUAAAUUACUUUAAUCCCUAAUGUUUUAUAAUAAAAUUUUUUAUGUUAGAUAUUAUUGAAACUACUAAUCAGAUUUGAGUGCGUUGAACUCUUCUGAAUAAGAGAAUACCUUUAUUCCGGUCAAAUUUAUCACAGUUUUCAAAAAUGCCUUUUUCGUGUAAAACAUGGCCUCUCCGACCACUGUGCGCCGCCGUCAACUGCGAGAGCAGAGCCUUCAUUAAAGCCGCCGCUCUGCAAAUGAAAUGGAAAUUGAAAAGCUCCAAAGGCAACUAAAACACUUCAUCGUCAAACAGUAAGCACAAGCAGACAACAGCAACAACAACAGCAAACAAUAAAAAAAACUAAAACAGACUUUGCACCAUUUUUCAAUGGCACGAGCGCCGAGAACAUUGAACUAUUUCCCAUUUAUUAUUUAUUUUUAUUCUUUUGGUUUGUUUUUACGACGCGAUUAUUUUUUAUGGAAAGUGUUGAGCUAUGUAUGUAUGUAUGUAUGUACAAUCAACGCCGCCGCUUCGCACGGCCCGACUUCCAGCAAUACAUAUGUAUGUACAAACAGAUACAAGAACGAGUACCUACAUACAUACCCGUACCUUAAUACAGCGAAAACGUACAGUGGUAUUGGUGGCGGUGGGGGCUACACUGUUGAAAAUGGCAAUCUACAAUCAGCAGCAAAACAGCUCAAAACUAACAGCCAACAGACAGCGUAACUAGCAAUAUUUUGUCUUUGAAAUGCUUAAGACUGUCGACUGUCGACUGUCGCUUCGAUGGAAUGGAAUAGAAAGAAUGGCAUGAAUUAGGGGGAGUGGAGCGCAAAAAAGCUCAAUGCGACUGGCGGUGGCGAAGGACAGUGAGAAAAAAUUUCGCAGCUUAGCCAUUUAACCAGCGGUAAAAGAAGUGAUACAUACCACUGAUAACUCGUUGCAAAAAAACCUGCAUAAACCCUUUGCUCUCUAAAACUAGCAGACUAAUUUUUUUGCGUGUUUCUGCAAAAGCGGAUAUUUUGAGUUAGCACUUUUUUGACGAAAGUAUAUGUUAAAUACAAAACUUUCAUGGGUAUGUUGAA